Molecule: ribosomal RNA, 365 nt
Filed under: uncultured Acinetobacter sp.
Lineage: Bacteria; Pseudomonadati; Pseudomonadota; Gammaproteobacteria; Moraxellales; Moraxellaceae
Description: bacterial SSU rRNA
Rfam family: Bacterial small subunit ribosomal RNA
Source: RNAcentral
GUGCCAGCCGCUGCGGUAAUACAGAGGGUGCGAGCGUUAAUCGGAUUUACUGGGCGUAAAGCGUGCGUAGGCGGCGAAUUAAGUCGGAUGUGAAAUCCCCGGGCUCAACCUGGGAAUUGCAUUCGAUACUGAUUGGCUAGAGUGUGGGAGAGGAUGGGUAGAAUUCCAGGUGUAGCGGUGAAAUGCGUAGAGAUCUGGAGGAAUACCGAUGGCGAAGGCAGCCAUCUGGCCUAACACUGACGCUGAGGUACGAAAGCAUGGGGAGCAAACAGGAUUAGAUACCCUGGUAGUCCAUGCCGUAAACGAUGUCUACUAGCCGUUGGUCUCUUUGAGGGAUUAGUGGCGCAGCUAACGCGAUAAGUAGA